Long non-coding RNA from Gadus macrocephalus (Pacific cod), 974 nucleotides. RefSeq lists it as uncharacterized. The record is from RefSeq and is a predicted model, not a curated record. The transcript has 2 exons. NCBI's taxonomy places the organism in Eukaryota, Metazoa, Chordata, Actinopteri, Gadiformes, Gadidae.
ACCUAGAGUGUAGGAGGUACACGUGGGCUUUUCACAGUAAAAGUACCAACAAUGUAGAUGUUACAUGUGGUCCUUUGACAGUAAAACUACCCAGGAUGCAGUAGUUACCAGUGGUCAUUUCAAAGUAAAAGUAGCCAGGAUGUAGUAGUUACCAGUGGUCCUUUCAAAAUAAAAGUACAGAGAGUGUAGGAAGUACACUUGGUCCUUCUCACAGUUCAAGUAUACAGAGUGUAGAAGAAAAACAUGAGGAUCAACAGAAAAAAAGUACCAACGUUUUCUUACAACAGGAAGGAGCAGCUGUCUGUGAUGUCAGGUGUAUAGUUCUAUGUUCAUUAAACCCCAUACUCCUUCAUUAGUGUGCUUAUUCCUAUGUGUGCUUGUUUGUGUGUACGUGUUUGUGUGUGUGUGAACGUGUAUGCGUUUUGUACGUGUGUGGGAAUUAUCAGUGGAGUACUAAUUUGGGCCAACAGGUGGCAGCCAUGAGAAACACACAACAGCAAAAAGGAGCACUUGUUGAUUCUCUAUUGCUCCUUAGAGUGGGCCUUCAAAGCUGUGUGUGUGUGUGUGUGUGUGUGUGUGUGUGUGUGUGUGUGUGUGUGUGUGUGUGUGUGUGUGUGUGUGUGCGCGCCCGAGUGUGUGUGUAUUGAGUACAUAAAAGCCACUGUUGGUGACAAGGCUUCAAUUGCAUGUCCACAAUGGUCAUGCACAAAUGUUGUAGAAAAUAACCAACGCUUACAUUAAAUACUAAACACACAUUAUAUAUAUUAUAUAUACGUAUGUGUGUAUAAAUACGUCUAUAUAUACACACAUUCUACAUUUUACAUGUAUGUGUGUAUACAUUUGUCUAAAUAAGGCUAUAUAUACACACAUUAUAUAUAAUAUGUGGAUAUAUGUAUAAAUAAGUCUAUGCAUACAAACACAGGCCAGUCCAUGGAGGAGGAAGAAUAUUUGUAUCCACAGAAACAGCCGGGUGG